AAACUAACAGAUUUACUUCGGUAAUGACGUUAGGAAAGCGAGCGGCGGAUGGGUGAGUAACACGUGGGGAACCUGCCCCAUAGUCUGGGAUACCACUUGGAAACAGGUGCUAAUACCGGAUAAGAAAGCAGAUCGCAUGAUCAGCUUUUAAAAGGCGGCGUAAGCUGUCGCUAUGGGAUGGCCCCGCGGUGCAUUAGCUAGUUGGUAAGGUAAAGGCUUACCAAGGCGAUGAUGCAUAGCCGAGUUGAGAGGCUGAUCGGCCACAUUGGGACUGAGACACGGCCCAAACUCCUACGGGAGGCAGCAGUAGGGAAUCUUCCACAAUGGACGCAAGUCUGAUGGAGCAACGCCGCGUGAGUGAAGAAGGUUUUCGGAUCGUAAAGCUCUGUUGUUGGUGAA
Molecule: ribosomal RNA, 399 nt
Filed under: uncultured Lactobacillus sp.
Lineage: Bacteria; Bacillati; Bacillota; Bacilli; Lactobacillales; Lactobacillaceae
Description: bacterial SSU rRNA
Rfam family: Bacterial small subunit ribosomal RNA
Source: RNAcentral